AGUGAACGCUGGCGGUAGGCCUAACACAUGCAAGUCGAACGGCAGCACAGUAAGAGCUUGCUCUUACGGGUGGCGAGUGGCGGACGGGUGAGGAAUACAUCGGAAUCUACUUUUUCGUGGGGGAUCACGUAGGGAAACUUACGCUAAUACCGCAUACGACCUACGGGUGAAAGCAGGGGAUCUUCGGACCUUUCGCGAUUGAAUGAGCCGAUGUCGGAUUAGCUAGUUGGCGGGGUAAAGGCCCACCAAGGCGACGAUCCGUAGCUGGUCUGAGAGGAUGAUCAGCCACACUGGAACUGAGACACGGUCCAGACGCCUACGGGAGGCAGCAGUGGGGAAUAUUGGACAAUGGGCGCAAGCCUGAUCCAGCCAUACCGAGUGGGUGAAGAAGGCCUUCGGGUUGUAAAGCCCUUUUGUUGGGAAAGAAAAGCAGCAGGUUAAUACCCCGCUGUUCUGACGGUACCCAAAGAAUAAGCACCGGCUAACUUCGUG
This 492-nucleotide ribosomal RNA is filed under the name uncultured bacterium. RNAcentral's name for it is "partial 16S ribosomal RNA". It matches the Rfam family "Bacterial small subunit ribosomal RNA", at positions 29 to 507 of the family's 1533-position model. The record is from RNAcentral.